AACGAACGCUGGCGGCAUGCCUAACACAUGCAAGUCGAACGAGACCUUCGGGUCUAGUGGCGCACGGGUGCGUAACGCGUGGGAACCUGCCCUUAGGUUCGGAAUAACUCCCCGAAAGGGGUGCUAAUACCGGAUAAUGUCUUCGGACCAAAGAUUUAUCGCCUUUGGAUGGGCCCGCGUUGGAUUAGCUAGUUGGUAGGGUAAAAGCCUACCAAGGCGACGAUCCAUAGCUGGUCUGAGAGGAUGAUCAGCCACACUGGGACUGAGACACGGCCCAGACUCCUACGGGAGGCAGCAGUGGGGAAUAUUGAACACUGGGCGAAAGCCUGAUCCAGCAAUGCCGCGUGAGUGAUGAAGGCCUUAGGGUUGUAAAGCUCUUUUACCCGGGAUGAUAAUGACAGUACCGGGAGAAUAAGCUCCGGCUAACUCCGUG
RNAcentral lists this ribosomal RNA (433 nucleotides) under uncultured bacterium. RNAcentral describes it as "partial 16S ribosomal RNA". It matches the Rfam family "Bacterial small subunit ribosomal RNA", at positions 29 to 507 of the family's 1533-position model. The record is from RNAcentral.